RNAcentral lists this transfer RNA (66 nucleotides) under Gekko gecko (tokay). RNAcentral describes it as "tRNA-Pro". The record is from RNAcentral. Lineage: Eukaryota; Metazoa; Chordata; Lepidosauria; Squamata; Gekkonidae.
CAAAAAAUAGUUUAAUUAAAACACUUGUUUUGGGGACAAGUAAUGGGCACUUUUGUGGCUUUUUGA